This 592-nucleotide long non-coding RNA is filed under the name Solanum lycopersicum (tomato). RNAcentral's name for it is "long non-coding RNA (SLYC_LNC000332)". The record is from RNAcentral. Lineage: Eukaryota; Viridiplantae; Streptophyta; Magnoliopsida; Solanales; Solanaceae.
AGAGACUGGAAGCCAUAAACUUACAGGUCAUCCUGUAAAAGUUGGUCCAUCCGAGGCUAAAUUUUGUGAGCCAGUGCUGCAGGAUGACAUUCACAUUCACAGGGAGAAGCUAAAGGAUACUUGUACAACAAACAUCAUGAAACCUGUCAAUCCAGAAGAUGUGCAACCAGCAACAAAUGUGCCAAAAGAAAACCAGGAAGGGACUGGAAGUCAUAAACUUACAGGUCAUCCUGUAAAAGUUGGUCCAUCCGAGGCUAAAUUUUGUGAGCCAGUGCUGCAGGAUGACAUUCACAUUCACAGGGAGAAGCUAAAGGAUACUUGUACAACAAACAUCAUGAAACCUGUCAAUCCAGAAGAUGUGCAACCAGCAACAAAUGUGCCAAAAGAAAACCAGGAAGGGACUGGAAGUCAUAAACUUACAGGUCAUCCUGUAAAAGUUGGUCCAUCCGAGGCUAAAUUUUGUGAGCCAGUGCUGCAGGAUGACAUUCACAGGGAGAAGCUAAAAGAUACUUGUACAACAAACAUCAUGAAACCCGACAAUCCAGAAGUUGUGCAACCAGCAACAAAUGUGCCAAAAGAAAACCAGGAAGGG